UUAAUAUUACAUCACCUUUUGAGUGACUUUCUAGUUCUCUUCAGUGAUAUAAGAGUUUAUUGAGGAUUCCCUUUCUUUGAGAUUCAUGUCCUUGACAGAUAGAAAUUGUGUGUUUUGAGCGGUCUUUUGAGAGUGCAGGGUUGCACACUGUUGUUAUCAGUUGAUGAAGGAGUAUUGUUACUGGGAGAAAGUAUUGUAAUAUUUUUAAGUGUUUUAGUGGUUUGGAAUACGGUUAAUUGUGUGAUCCUAACAAGUAAAACUCAUGCACUUAAUCUUUCCCUAUGUUCCAAUUCCCCUAUACAUGUUUAUUCUGAAAAGAAUUGUAGAAUAAGUAAAACAACAAUCACAGUAAGCUUUAUAAAAUUAGAUGACACAUCCAAAUCCAUUCCUAGAGUAAUAAAACAUCAUUCACUCAAUUUACAGGUUUGGAUAUAGACACCAUAUUCCUCCAACCAAAGUGGGUGAGUAAAUCCUUAGAAAAUUGAACACGAUGCAAUUAAAAGUCUAAAUUAAUAUACCGUGAGAAGAUAUAACCGAGCUUCAAAAGAAUUCUUGGACACACCAGAAAAGAAUGGGUGUGUGUAAAGAAUGGGUGUGUGUAAAGAAUGGGUGUGUGUGCGCGCAGCUGGCAAAGAGGCAAGUUGCCAUCUUUCACGUGGAGCUCCGGCAGCAUUCUCCGCAAUUCUUUAAUCGAUUCUCCGCUGCCCCAGACGGCGAAGACUGAACGUGGGGGAGAAUUCUCUGGAGAGGAUGUGGGGUCAACGCCCGGGUCUGGCCGCACUCUGCCAUGCACCCUGCAAUAAACUUAUUGUUUCUCAAUUAAGUCCUUUUGUCAGGCUCGUCCUUGUUUGUCUCUAGCCACCUUAGAUGCCUAGCUGGGUAGGUCAAUGUCAUUCUUCUUCGGUAGGCCCGUCAAACACGAAAAGCUCAUAAGUACAGACAUAAGUUACUGGCCGUAGCAGUGGCAACGGGAUGAACGUUAAGUGGAAGGUUGAUGUCAGAUAAGUUGUGGAGGACUAAAAAAACCUUACCGCAUCCAGCAACACGUCAGUUUUGGCACGAACCAGAACCCCACAAGAAAUUAUGCAAGCUCGCAGGAAGUAAAUUUGCAGCUGGUCAACAACAGAGGUGGACUAGUUAGUGCCUUGCAUCAAACAUUGAGUGAGAUUCUUUUUAGAGUGUGGACAACGAUGAGCACCUUUCUGGUCCGCUCAGAACCACAUGAACUUGACAGAGUUCUGGUAGUUAUGUGGGUACAGUGUAGUUUCUGCUUGGCUCUGCCGUUAACGCUGGAUUAGAUUGGCAAGUCGUAGUUUUAUUGUUUCGGUGCGGUGCGAUGAGAAACCUUCACCGAUGGAGCAUCGCCGUGGUGAAUGGGUUCGACUCAGGUGGAUUCCUGGGGCCGUCCUUUCUGGAAAUGAGUGUAUCGUUUAGUGACCUUGUUCAGUUGGGAAUGCUUUACCACAGUAAAUAUAGUGACUCCGUGGACUGUGUCGAUAAAUGUGUGUACUGUCUGGUGAACUAUUAUCAGCUUUGGGCGGCACUUUCUCUUCCCUACUGGACAGGACAAGGUACAAAAGUUACAAAUGUGUACAGGGGAUGCCAAUCAGUGACGGUGUUCGCUUGAGCGAGGCUUGCAGCACAAUGAUCCAGUCGUCUCGCUAUUGAAGCGUCUGUGAUUUCUAUUCUCACGAUUGUUCUUGG
Molecule: long non-coding RNA, 1704 nt
Filed under: Physcomitrium patens
Lineage: Eukaryota; Viridiplantae; Streptophyta; Bryopsida; Funariales; Funariaceae
Description: long non-coding RNA (PPAT_LNC013279)
Source: RNAcentral